UACAGAGAUGGCGAGCGUUACUCGGAUUUAUUGGGUGUAAAGGGCAGGUAGGUGUUCUGCCAAGUUAGAAGUGAAAUCCUGCAGCUCAACUGCAGAACUGCUUCUAAAACUGGCAGAAUUGAGGAUAGAAGAGGAGAGUGGAAUUCCCGGUGUAAGGGUGAAAUCUGUAGAUAUCGGGAGGAACACCAGUGGCGAAAGCGACUCUCUGGUCUAUCCCUGACGCUGAUCUGCGAAGGCUAGGGGAGCAAACAGG
RNAcentral lists this ribosomal RNA (253 nucleotides) under uncultured bacterium. RNAcentral's name for it is "partial 16S ribosomal RNA". It matches the Rfam family "Bacterial small subunit ribosomal RNA", at positions 524 to 776 of the family's 1533-position model. The record is from RNAcentral.